AUGGCCGUACCAUCCUGAAUGCACCUGAUUGUUGUCUGAUCUCAGAAGCUAAGCAGGGUUGGGCCUGGUUAGUGCUUGGAUGGGAGGAAAUGUCUUUGUGCUCCUAGGUGCUCAUC
Molecule: ribosomal RNA, 116 nt
Filed under: Microcebus murinus (gray mouse lemur)
Lineage: Eukaryota; Metazoa; Chordata; Mammalia; Primates; Cheirogaleidae
Source: RNAcentral